UUUUUAAAGUAUACCUUAAUUCUAAACUAGAAAAUAUAAAGACAAAAUAAAUCCAAAAGAGUUAUCUAAUCCUAAAAAAUAUAUAUGUCAAAGACCGGCUUGCAAGAGUUUCUAACAAAUAUAAAGAGAAGAGGCAACUAGUUUCAGACUCAGUUGGCUUGCCUUGAUCCUUAGAAGCCUUGACCUAGACCAACCAAGUCGGCCUUGUGAUCAUUUGACUUGCUCAACCUUAGAGAUUAA
This 240-nucleotide long non-coding RNA is filed under the name Cucumis sativus (cucumber). Its description in RNAcentral is "long non-coding RNA (CSAT_LNC000403)". The record is from RNAcentral. Lineage: Eukaryota; Viridiplantae; Streptophyta; Magnoliopsida; Cucurbitales; Cucurbitaceae.